Coccinella septempunctata (seven-spotted ladybird) is the source of this 312-nucleotide long non-coding RNA. RefSeq lists it as uncharacterized. The record is from RefSeq and is a predicted model, not a curated record. The transcript is spliced from 3 exons. NCBI's taxonomy places the organism in Eukaryota, Metazoa, Arthropoda, Insecta, Coleoptera, Coccinellidae.
ACAUAAGAAUUUCUAGAUAACAAACGGUUCUUGGGGGCAUAUAUAAAUUUAUCAGAUCAAGAAAUUUUUUUCAGAGUAAGUUCAUAAAGCAAUUCGUUCAGGAGAGUUUCCAUGUGAAGUAGAUGAUCUAUUUCUCUUCUUUUCAACUGAGUACAUCAGAUUUCUGACAACGUUCAAGCAAUUGGGUAGUGUAUGGAGAUGAUUUUCUUAGUCUAGAUCUAUGGCAAAAUACGUUUUGAGAUAAGUUAUUCUGUUGGAAUUAUAUAAUGAUUAUUGAAACACAAUCUAUGAGUUAGCUUUUGCGUUAAAAUU